This 526-nucleotide ribosomal RNA is filed under the name uncultured Halogranum sp. RNAcentral describes it as "bacterial SSU rRNA". It matches the Rfam family "Archaeal small subunit ribosomal RNA", at positions 60 to 589 of the family's 1478-position model. The record is from RNAcentral. Lineage: Archaea; Methanobacteriati; Methanobacteriota; Halobacteria; Halobacteriales; Haloferacaceae.
GCGCGACUUAGAUCGCAGCGGAAAGCUCAGUAACACGUGGCCAAUCUACCCUGCAGAGGAGCAUAAUCUCGGGAAACUGAGGCUAAUACUCCAUACCGCUCUCACGCUGGAACGCGGAGAGCUCGAAACGCUUCGGCGCUGCAGGAUGUGGCUGCGGCCGAUUAGGUAGACGGUGGGGUAACGGCCCACCGUGCCGAUAAUCGGUACGGGUUGUGAGAGCAAGAGCCCGGAGACGGAAUCUGAGACAAGAUUCCGGGCCCUACGGGGCGCAGCAGGCGCGAAACCUUUACACUGCACGCCAGUGCGAUAAGGGGACCCCAAGUGCGAGGGCAUAUAGUCCUCGCUUUUGUGUACCGUAAGGUGGUACACGAAUAAGAGCUGGGCAAGACCGGUGCCAGCCGCCGCGGUAAUACCGGCAGCUCAAGUGAUGACCGAUAUUAUUGGGCCUAAAGCGUCCGUAGCUGGCCGCGUAGGUUCGUCGGGAAAUCCAUCCGCCCAACGGAUGGGCGUCCGGCGAAAACCACGU